This is a long non-coding RNA of Metopolophium dirhodum (rose-grain aphid), 483 nucleotides long. RefSeq lists it as uncharacterized. The transcript has 2 exons. The record is from RefSeq and is a predicted model, not a curated record. Lineage: Eukaryota; Metazoa; Arthropoda; Insecta; Hemiptera; Aphididae.
CAGCCAGCCAGCAGUUUACCAAACAUCUUCAAUAGCCAGUCAAAAGAUUGUCAAAACAACUCUAACAAAUAGACCAGCCAUCAUACUUAGAAAAAGUACCUCAAUUUCUACAAGCUAUAUUUUUUUUUUAAAAAAAAAGAAAAAACAUGGAAGCCAAAUCGUUAAUUCACGAGCAAAUCAUUCAAAUAUUGGAACAGCAAAAAGAAAAUGAUCAUGCUCAAGAUGUUGACGAAAAAAUGUUCUAUUCCAAUAUUAAAAAUAUUAAAAUAAAAAUUCAAAAAGCGGUGCUGAAAGAAACCAGAAAAAGACUUAUUGAAGAAAAACAGAAUUUAAUAAACGAAUUUAAACAUUUAACAUAUAUAAAUUAUUUAUGCGAGAAAAAUAUUCAAAAAGGUCUAAAUAAUUUAUAUAGUAAAUUAGAUAAUGUCGAAUAAUAUUCUGUUUUUCAAUAAAUAAUUAAAAUAUUAUUUUUUUUUUUUGUUA